CCUAUUGCGCAGUGGCAAUAGCGUAGCCAAUGAGGUGUACCCGAGGCGGCGAUUAUUGCUAAUUGAAAAAAAAAAAAAAAAAGAAACAAAGCCUACACACUUAGAAAUAGUAAUUUUUGGAUAGCAGUAAUAUGG
Molecule: small nuclear RNA, 135 nt
Filed under: Echinops telfairi (small Madagascar hedgehog)
Lineage: Eukaryota; Metazoa; Chordata; Mammalia; Afrosoricida; Tenrecidae
Description: U4 spliceosomal RNA (ENSETEG00000024279.1)
Rfam family: U4 spliceosomal RNA
About the family: U4 small nuclear RNA (U4 snRNA) is a component of the major U2-dependent spliceosome.
Source: RNAcentral